RNAcentral lists this ribosomal RNA (500 nucleotides) under uncultured bacterium. Its description in RNAcentral is "partial 16S ribosomal RNA". It matches the Rfam family "Bacterial small subunit ribosomal RNA", at positions 30 to 523 of the family's 1533-position model. The record is from RNAcentral.
AUUGAACGCUGGCGGCAUGCUUUACACAUGCAAGUCGAACGGUAACAGGGAGCUUGCUCCGCUGACGAGUGGCGAACGGGUGAGUAAUAUAUCGGAACGUACCCAAGAGUGGGGGAUAACGUAGCGAAAGUUACGCUAAUACCGCAUACGAUCUAUGGAUGAAAGUGGGGGAUCGCAAGACCUCAUGCUCCUGGAGCGGCCGAUAUCUGAUUAGCUAGUUGGUGAGGUAAAGGCUCACCAAGGCGACGAUCAGUAGCUGGUCUGAGAGGACGACCAGCCGCACUGGAACAGAGACACGGUCCAGACUCCUACGGGAGGCAGCAGUGGGGAAUUUUGGACAAUGGGCGCAAGCCUGAUCCAGCAAUGCCGCGUGAGUGAAGAAGGCCUUCGGGUUGUAAAGCUCUUUUGUCAGGGAAGAAACGGGAGAGGCUAAUAUCCAUUCCUAAUGACGGUACCUGAAGAAUAAGCACCGGCUAACUACGUGCCAGCCGCCGCAGUAA